AUUUGUCUCAUAGCUUGUUAUGGGGUUAUUUAUUUUUACAAAAGUCUGGAUUAAAAUUGUUCUCUUUACUCUCUUCGCUUUUCAACAAUGGGAGAAAUGGGAUAAAACACCUAAAUUCAGAAGAGUAUGCACUGCUGCAGACCCUGAGCAGACAGGAAUUACCCAUCUGAAUAGAGAUAGCACAGUUUGGAAAAUGCAGUUUGCAAGCUCAUUUGCUCCUGCGCCGUGUUCAUAAGCAGAAUAUCAUUCCUUUCUGCAUAUCCGCUAGACUGGACAAAUCAAGGUGACAAUCCAUGGUUAACUCUGUCAGGCCCUUUGUCCUGCUGCUCCUGUGAAGCGCAAUACAAUGGGAACAAAGUGGAAUAUAUAACAGUCCAGCUGCCUUGUUGUGACAGCGCCGGCCCGAAUUACAGUGUGUCAGCCCUUGUUUGUGUAUCGAUAGCCGGUCCAUAACAUGACAAUGCAGAUUGCGCGAAAGCGCUUCGAUACGAGAAAAAAUCAUGUCAAGAGAGGGGAAAAAAUCAAACCUGUCUUGCGAAACUGAAGCUCGUAAAAGGCUAUAUUUUGGUACAGUUGUUACCUUCAGAUGUAGGGCCCGUUUUUUCAGCCUGGCAUGUUUCUAAGGGAUGCAGGUAGGCGCUUGCUUUUAAAUCUAUCAUACGGUGUCUGCUUACAGGGCUCCGCACUGAUGCUACUUUUAAGGCAGUUUAUAUUUCAUUUAAGCAUGCAAUUAAUCAUCUUUACAGUGUUGAUGUGACUGGCAUCAGCAGCGUUAUUUAAUUAAAUUUGAAAUUAUUGUACAGUAAAUAUAGGCUUCCAACUAGCCAGUCCAAAUUAAAUGCUGAGGUCUAUUUCUUACCCAUGGUGUUUCCAAUUUAAAUGCUCAUCCAAAAGGUUACACUUCACGGGUUGAAAUCAUUUUUAUGUUCUAACUGUUGCUAAACCAAAAGAUCAACUGUAUGUGAGUCCUGUGCAUCUAUUAGCUGCAGGAAUGUGUACACAUUAUCUAUAUUUCUCAUAUUCCAUUUUGUAUUAGCGAUUUUAUGACUGAUGCUCUUUAAGCACCAUUUUUCGUCUGAUACUCUGUCUCUUCUGUCACGUCAGCCCCGAGCUGCCGUUACAGAAAAGUCCUUCCUCCAUUUUGUUUCAGCCUGGUAAUCAAGCAAUUAGUCCACAAAAUGGAGGUGCUCUGCUUCGCUCCUCAUCCUGCGUGUCGCUCUGGGUGGGCUUUACCUGCGGGAAAGCGGCAGGCAGCGCGCUUUGCUGCCGCAAGGGCUAAAUCGGCCGCCGGAGAGUGUCCCCACGAUGACCAGUAAGUGUCCAUUGCUUAGGGGGACUCGUAGAGGAGAGAGACCUUUGUGGUGCUUCGCUGGAGAAUUAACGCGCAGCACACGCACUACCUGCCAACGCUGCACACGCCACAGCAGAAGGCGUAUGGCUGCUCCCCUUCCCUGACUGCGUUCAAGCUCUAAUUUUAUAACGACCUGAAAACGUGCAGGCAGCCGAACUUUUAAACGUUAGGAACAACAUUGCUUUUCACCUUGUCUUUAUUUCAUAAAGAAAAGAAGCGGGGGGAGGGGAAGGAAAUCAAACCAAACCAAACCACACCAAACCAACAACACCAUUUGUUUUAUGUUACAGCUUUCCACAGACAAUUCACAACAUGUCUAGCAAGGAAUCAGACCAGAAAUACCGUCUCACUCCUAUCAUAUAUAUAAUACAGCUUUUGAAUACUGGAAAAUCUGUCAUCCGUUAAGUGCAGCUCAGGUCUUCUGUGUGAAAAGCACAAGCCUUUUUUUUUUUUUAAUGCAGUGCUGCCGUGUCUGCACUUUUUUGAAAUUGCAUAUUUAUCAGUCUAUGAAUUAUUUAUGAGUGGAGAAGGGAGGGGGAGGGCUGGAAGGGGAAGGAAGAGUGAGAAAACAUAUGCUUGGGCAGAGGAAUACCUUAAAUGAAUCCUGUACCAAGUCUUUUGGAGGAUUAUUUGUAAUUACUUUUUCGUUUUCUUUUUUCUUUUUUUUUUUGUUUCUCUUACGUGUCACUCGGUUGUCUGCUAUUCCUAUUCUUUUGUUUGGUUGGUUUUGUUUGACUUUUUGGGACUAGGAAGGGAUUGGGGUACUGCUUGCUAAAAGUUGGAAGAUUUUGCCACAGAAAUGAACUGAGCAGUUCUUUUGACUUCUAAAGUACAGGGUGUUUAAUAAAUAUUAAUCCUUCAACUGUCA
RNAcentral lists this long non-coding RNA (2219 nucleotides) under Struthio camelus australis. Its description in RNAcentral is "lncRNA (ENSSCUG00000007097.1)". Lineage: Eukaryota; Metazoa; Chordata; Aves; Struthioniformes; Struthionidae. The record is from RNAcentral.